CACCCUGGGGCCGGUGAUUUGGUGGGGUCUAGCCACCGGGGUUGUCCGGGGCCCCGGUGUGCUGGCUGCAGAGGGGGAGGGGGCUUUAGCGCCGCCGGUUGUCGGCCGCCACUGCCGACCGUAAGGGAGGGGGGUGCGCCCCCACACGCUAGGUGCUGGGGGCCAGGGGUCUGCACGCUCGGGGAUCCCCCCCUGAGGAGGAGGCGGUGGGGAGAGGCAGAGAACCACAAAUUCCGUCUGGAGUUUAUAACAAUGAGGCGGAAAUGGCGAGAGAAGCCGAAGGGUAGCGACUAGUUCCCAUCCGAGAAAAGGACCAUAGCAACGGCCCGCCCACUCUUCUUCACGUGACCUCUGAUGUCAUCCAUGUGAUUUUGGAGCAAUGAAGCGGUUCCGGAGCACUUUUAUUGAGUGGGGCUGAAAGUCUGUGGCUGCCGAUACAAGUGCAGCCGGACUCUGCCUGCCUUUUGCAGUGUUUGGGAUUGGCAUUUUCUUUUGGAUACCGGGAAAGUUUCUACGAGACCCUGGAGGGUCCGACUUCAUCUUUUCUGAGCGGCAAGGGUCUGGCUGCCAGGCUGCAGGAGCAGCAGCAAUUCGUGUGCUCUUGGCUGGCUGCAAAUACAAUUUGCAUUUUCUUUGGGAUACCGUGAACGUGAAAGACACCAGCUUUCGAUAGGGGAGCUGGAAAUUACAUCGACUUUAAAAUCAUGUUCAACAUGAAAGGUAUGGAGGGCUAAGAAAAGGAACAGAGAGGCCGUCAAUGGUGGUGUUUAACUGAUCAAAGGGGACUAAUGGAGUAAUUUAAUGUUUCAUGAGGGUGUGUUUAGGAUGGGUGGUUUUAGAGGGGGUCAGCUGGGGCUAUCUGUGUGUGAUUUGGGAUUGGCAUACAGACAUCUGUUGCAAGGGGGAAGGGGCAUCUUGCUAUGUGGAGGGAGGAUGGGGCAUUAUGGUAUUGGUCAGACUAGAGGGAGGGAUGGUGCAUCUUGGUGGUGUCUGAAUGGUUGGGUAGGGGCACGCUGGUGUGGGUCUGGAGGAAGGGGCACAUUGGUGUGGGGAGGGAGGGAUAGGGACAUAGUGGUGUGGGUCUGGGGGCAGUGGUGUGUUUGGGGGAGGGUUGUGGUACAUUGGUGUGGGUCUGGGGGAGUGAUGGAAGACAUGGGUGUGGGUCUGCAGGGUGGCAUGGGUCAUCUAGGUGUAGGGUGGGCAGGGCAUCUUGGUGUGGCUCUGGAGGGAGGGGAUAGGGCACAUUGGUGUGGGUUUAAUGGAAGGGAUGGUGCACAUUGGUGUGGGCCUGGUUGGAGGGAUGGGGUACAUGGGUGUGUUUCUGGAGGGAGAGAUUGGGCACAGUGGGUCUGGAGGUUAGCAUGGGUCAUCUUUGGUGUGGGUUUGAGAGGUAGGAUGGGCCAUCUUGGUGUGGCUAGGGAUGGGAGCACAUUGGUGUGCGUCUGGGGGAGGGAUUGUGGCACAUUGUAGGACUGGGGGAGGAAUAGCUCAUCUAGGUGUGGGUCUGGAGGGUGGGAUGGGGGCAUCUUGCUGUGUGGAUUGAGGGAUGGGGGCAUCAUGGUGGGGUUGGCCCGCAGUGGGUGUUUUGACGCAAUGUAAUUUCUGCCCAGUGCUCUGAAUGUCAAAUUGAAGAAAUUCAAUGAAGCGUGGGUAAAUGGCUGGGGUAACUAUGACUCUUAAAGUAGCCAAAUGCCUUGUCAUAUAAUUAGUGAUGUGCAUGAAUGGAUGAAUGACAUUCCCACUGUCCCUACCUACUAUCUAGCGAAGCCAUAGCCAAGGGAACGGGCUUGGCAGAAUUGUCGGGAAAGACAGCCGGGUUCAGUUUUACUCUAGUCUGGCACUGUGAAGAGGCAUGAGAGGAGUAGAAUAAGUGGGAGGCCCUUCAGCCGCCGGUGAAAUGACACUACUCCUUGUUUUUUUUCUACUUACCCAGUAAGGUGGGGCAAGCCCCAUGGGGCUCUCGCUUCUGGCUUCAAGCGCCUGGCACCUGCCGUGCACAACCCGCUCUGGAGACAGUGGCAGGUGGGGAGUUUGGGGUGGUACACCUGUCAAAGGAUAACGCAAGUCUCCUAAGGCGAGCUCAGGGAGGACAGAAACCUCCCACGGAGCAGAAGGGCAAAAGCUAGCUUGAUCUCAAUUUUUCAGUAUGAAUACAGACCGUGAAAGCGGGCCUCGCGAUCCUGUUGAAAUUUUGGGUUUCAAGCAAAUGGUGUCAGAAAAGUUACCACAGGGAUAACUGGCUUGUGGUGACCAAGCGUUCAUAGCAACGUCACCUUUUGAUCCUUCGAAGUCGACUCAUCCUAUAAUUGUGAAACAGAAUUCACAUAGAGUUGGAUUGUUCACCCACUAAUGGGGAACGUGAGGUGGAUUUAGACCGUCGUGAGGCAGGUUAGUUUUACCCUACUGGUGUGUUGUUGCAAUAGUAAUUCUGCUCAUUACACCGGAACCCGCAGGUUCAGACAUUUGGUGUGCAUGCUUGGCUCAGGAGCAAAUGGGGUGAAGCUACCAUCUGUGGGAUUAUAAAUGAACUCCUCCAAGUCAGAAUUCUCCCUGCCCCCUACACCGUGAUACCGCAGCGCUGUGGAGCAUCGGUUGGCCUAACAUAGCCGGCCUUAGGGCCGAUGUGUAGAGCCGCUCGCCUUAGGACUUGAGUGUGGACAGAAGGGGGUCACCUCUCUCGCCCAUAGUGCACAGCUUUUCGUGG
RNAcentral lists this ribosomal RNA (2704 nucleotides) under Ambystoma mexicanum (axolotl). RNAcentral's name for it is "eukaryotic LSU rRNA". The stretch from base 1458 to 2704 matches the Rfam family "Eukaryotic large subunit ribosomal RNA", at positions 1891 to 3310 of the family's 3401-position model. The record is from RNAcentral. Lineage: Eukaryota; Metazoa; Chordata; Amphibia; Caudata; Ambystomatidae.